Molecule: unclassified non-coding RNA, 331 nt
Filed under: soil metagenome
Description: partial contains 5.8S ribosomal RNA, internal transcribed spacer 2, and large subunit ribosomal RNA
Rfam family: 5.8S ribosomal RNA (bases 1-119)
Source: RNAcentral
GAUGAAGAACGUAGCGAAAUGCGAUAAGUAAUGCGAAUUGCAGAAUCCGUGAGUCAUCGAAUCUUUGAACGCACAUUGCGCCUGCUAGUAUUCUGGCGGGCAUGCCUGUUCGAGCGUCAUUUCAACCAUCAAGCCCUAGGCUUGCGUUGGAGCCCUGCGGCUGCCGCAGGCUCCCAAAUCCAGUGGCGGGCUCGUCGUCGUACCGAGUGCAGUAAACAUCCUCGCUCAGGGAACGUGACGGGUUCUUGCCGUGAAACCCCCCACAUAUCAAGGUUGACCUCGGAUCAGGUAGGAAUACCCGCUGAACUUAAGCAUAUCAAUAAGCGGAGGA